CUUUUAAAGGCGUUACAAUAAUACCAUGUUGCUGAGGCUGUCUCGGGGAGGGCUUCCUAACUAUGCAUGCAGAUAAAAUGGCCUAGCAUACAUUUAGGUUUUCAUGGCCAAGUGGAGGAGAGCAUGAUGUGAGUAUUUUGAAGGUUUCCCACACACUGCUGGUGAUGAAUUGAUUUCCAACUUCCCAGAGAGCAAAACCCACAUGUAACAGGUACGAUAAAUCACCCAUGGCCUUUGACAUCACAUGUUAGUCAGUUGUUGCUACAGAACAAACGACCCCAAAGAGUCGAGAAAUAACACAUAUUUAUCACCACUCUCUGGGUCCCCAGCCCGGCUGAACAGUUCUUCUAGCUGCAGGUCUUUUGAUCGGCUGAGACAGCACCAUAGCUCUUGUCCUUCCUUCUGAGUUAGCAAUGUCAGAAGCCGUGCCAAACAGGUUCAUCCAGGUUUUCCUCGGCAGUGAGUCCACUCACAUCCUGUUGCUAAGUCAAAUUACAGGCUCACAGACAGCCCAAGCGGGGAGUUACAUGGGAGUCUGAGGAGAUGACUCAGUAAAGUGCUCUCUGCUAAGCCUGAGUACCUGAAGUCCCCCUCAUCCCUGCACCCAUCUCGUUCAGGUGGAAGGAGAAUUUGGUGUCACAAGUCUAUGUAACCCCAAUUCUGGAGCUGGGAGACAAGCAAGCAGAUGUAGGGUGCUCUCCAGCCAGCCAGCUUACUGAACCAGACAAUAUCGUUGAAUGGGGCCAAAUUACUUGAGCUGAAGUUCAAUGAGAGACCCUGUCUCAGAGAAUAAGGUAUAGGCUAAGAGAGAAAGACAGCUGGAGUUGAGCUCUGGCCUCCCUCUGUGCACACACAGAAGGGCAUACGUACAUACAAAUGGAUGAAGUGGGGUGGAAUGGCUCACUCAGACCAUGACAAGGAUUUAGAUAUAUUAUCCCAUCACACUAGUGUAAAGAAUCGAUACCAAUUCUCUCUACAGCACAGAAUAAUCCCAUUGGAAAUAAAUAUAUCCCAGAAAUAUACCAAAGGAGAAGGACAGCAUAGUUCCCAUAUAAUAUGGUGCAGCAAGUAUUUUUCAGACUACCUACUAAUAAGCUGGAUGUGGUGAUAAAUCCAUCUAACUCAGCUAAUAACUGAGCAAGGUGAUGUCCCUCCUGUCAAGAAAUAAGACAUAGUACAGGCUAUAAUCUUCCUCCCAAGUUGCUUUGAGUCAGCAGACAAGAACAAUAGUUUAUAUUGGCAUGUAAGCUGUUUUAUGCCGUGAUAAGAAUACCCCAAUGUUAGGGGCGUAAACAACAAAGAUUUGCUUACUGCUCCUGAGACGCAUCAGUCCGGAGUUAGCUGUAACCUUUGCCCUGUAUACUUACUAAGUAGCUACUGUUCCUGAGUACUGACGUUCAUCUUAGAGAAUGAUAGCAUGGCUGGUUUUGAACAUUUCCAGACAAUAUCAUUGAAUGGGGCCAAAUUACUUGGCCCCACUAAACUCCAAAUGCACUUCUAAGUCAACAGAAGGGACUGUGUGCUGGUCAACAACCAGAAGGAACAGAGCUUCAUCUUCACCUUCAUCAUCAUCAUCAUCAUAUAUGUAUGUGCUAAAGCAAUCAUGAAUGAAUGAAUUAGUUGGGUCUAGAGACAUGUUAGGAGAGCAUAUCAACAGGCCAUAGGACAGUUUCACUAAAUAGAACUAAAAGACACUGGUUUAGGGGCUAGAGAGAUGGCUCAGUGGUCAAGAACACUCACUGACCAUGCUUCCAAAGGACCCAGGUUCAAUUCCCAGCACCCACAUGGCAACUCACAACUGCCUAUAACUCCAGUUCCAGGGGAUCCAACACUACCACACAGUCAUACAUGCAGAGGAAACAACCAUGCCCAAUAAACUAAAAAUAAAAGAUGCUAGUUUGGGGGUGGGGGUAGAAAACGAGUGUUAUUAGAAUCAAAAAGACACAAGGUUAAAUUCUAGAAUUUAGCAAGUGAUUGAACCAACCUGGACUCAGUAUGGCAGUGAGGAAAAGGCAAUGAGAACUCACAGAUACAGCCAAGUCCGCACACUUCUCUUGCACACUCACAUCCCCUAUCCCAGAAUCAUUGCAGGGAGCACCGUUCCAGGGAGCACCAUUCCAGGGAGCACCAUCUUCCGUGCUUGGAUUCUGGCUUGUGUAACUCAGCUGUCUGCCACCAGAGGGCAGCAGGCAUAUGCCCAGCUGCAGUGCUUGAAGCCUUCCUGGCAGAUUGUACCACUUCGGAAGGCAAGACUGCCUGCCCGGGAAAGCCUGGAAAGACUAGAAGACUCUUGGCUUUAAGAUCCCUGCUUAAUGUAGCCCGUGGUCCAACCAGGCCCCAAGUCUAAGGACUUACAGCAAUGCAUGCUCAGUGUCCUGGGAGUGGUAAGUUAAUAUGAAGGGUGACAUCACACUCAGAAGUCACUCCAACUGUACAUGCACAGUUGACUCCAAGAAGCUUCUGGAAAGUGAAACUUGAGAGUCAAGCAGUACAAAGCGAUCAGUAUGAUGCUAUGUCUCCUAUUCUCUUUGACCAACUGGAGGAUCAGAUGACCCAGAUUUACGUGAGGACAGUUGGCCUCUUGGAACGCACGAUGCUGAAAACAAGAAAUACUGGAGAGAGUGAGAGUGUUACUGCAACCGUUGCUGAAAUUUGAAUGUGGAAUGUGGACUAGCGAAUUAUAUCAAAGCAGAUUUAAAACUCCUUAUCUUGAUCACUGUAUUUAGGACAUGUGAAAGCUGUCCUUUGGAAACACACUGGGUUGGGAAUAAAAAGGUAGGGAUGGAGUUUAGACACAUACAAAUAGAUUCAUAGACUAACAAGGCAAGUCAGCCAACGUGUAAAGAGAUGAUGGGUUUGGUCAGGGGUACAGAGGGAGCCCCUCACUUCUUCCCUCAAGUUUUCUGUAAGUUUAACAUUAUAACAAAAGACAAAAUUACAACCUCAGAUCCCAAGAACUUCAGGAAAAUUGUGAUGAUAACAAAUAGAUGUAUAAUUAUACAU
Long non-coding RNA from Mus musculus (house mouse), 3003 nucleotides. RefSeq annotates it as predicted gene, 33648. The transcript is spliced from 3 exons. The record is from RefSeq and is a predicted model, not a curated record. Lineage: Eukaryota; Metazoa; Chordata; Mammalia; Rodentia; Muridae.